AGUGAACGCUGGCGGUAGGCCUAACACAUGCAAGUCGAACGGCAGCACAGUAAGAGCUUGCUCUUACGGGUGGCGAGUGGCGGACGGGUGAGGAAUACAUCGGAAUCUACUUUUUCGUGGGGGAUAACGUAGGGAAACUUACGCUAAUACCGCAUACGACCUACGGGUGAAAGCAGGGGAUCUUCGGACCUUGCGCGAUUGAAUGAGCCGAUGUCGGAUUAGCUAGUUGGCGGGGUAAAGGCCCACCAAGGCGACGAUCCGUAGCUGGUCUGAGAGGAUGAUCAGCCACACUGGAACUGAGACACGGUCCAGACUCCUACGGGAGGCGGCAGUGGGGAAUAUUGGACAAUGGGAGCAAGCCUGAUCCAGCCAUGCCGCGUGGGUGAAGAAGGCCUUCGGGUUGUAAAGCCCUUUUGUUGGGAAAGAAAAGCAGCAGGUUAAUACCCCGCUGUUCUGACGGUACCCAAAGAAUAAGCACCGGCUAACUUCGUG
RNAcentral lists this ribosomal RNA (492 nucleotides) under uncultured bacterium. RNAcentral's name for it is "partial 16S ribosomal RNA". It matches the Rfam family "Bacterial small subunit ribosomal RNA", at positions 29 to 507 of the family's 1533-position model. The record is from RNAcentral.